UACGGGGGGGGCAAGCGUUGUUCGGAAUUACUGGGCGUAAAGGGAGCGUAGGUGGAUAUUUAAGUGGGAUGUGAAAUACUCGGGCUUAACCUGAGUGCUGCAUUCCAAACUGGAUAUCUAGAGUGCAGGAGAGGAAAGUAGAAUUCCUAGUGUAGCGGUGAAAUGCGUAGAGAUUAGGAAGAAUACCAGUGGCGAAGGCGACUUUCUGGACUGUAACUGACACUGAGGCUCGAAAGCGUGGGGAGCAAACAGG
This 253-nucleotide ribosomal RNA is filed under the name uncultured bacterium. Its description in RNAcentral is "partial 16S ribosomal RNA". It matches the Rfam family "Bacterial small subunit ribosomal RNA", at positions 524 to 776 of the family's 1533-position model. The record is from RNAcentral.